CCCCUUCCAGGGUCAUACCUGGAGAGUUUCCAGGACUCUACCAGUCUUGGCUACGGGAGGGAGAGUCAAGUAGAGGCCUGUCCAUUCCAUUCCUAGCUUGGCCAGUGGCUAGCGAGCGGAAGGCAAUCCUCUACGAGU
Ornithorhynchus anatinus (platypus) is the source of this 138-nucleotide small nucleolar RNA. The record is from RefSeq and is a predicted model, not a curated record. Lineage: Eukaryota; Metazoa; Chordata; Mammalia; Monotremata; Ornithorhynchidae.